This 1572-nucleotide ribosomal RNA is filed under the name Salmonella enterica. RNAcentral describes it as "partial 23S ribosomal RNA". It matches the Rfam family "Bacterial large subunit ribosomal RNA", at positions 1375 to 2925 of the family's 2925-position model. The record is from RNAcentral. Lineage: Bacteria; Pseudomonadati; Pseudomonadota; Gammaproteobacteria; Enterobacterales; Enterobacteriaceae.
CAGGGUGAGUCGACCCCUAAGGCGAGGCCGAAAGGCGUAGUCGAUGGGAAACGGGUUAAUAUUCCCGUACUUGGUGUUACUGCGAAGGGGGGACGGAGAAGGCUAUGUUGGCCGGGCGACGGUUGUCCCGGUUUAAGCGUGUAGGUGUGUGUUCCAGGUAAAUCCGGUUCACUUUAACACUGAGGCGUGAUGACGAGGCACUACGGUGCUGAAGCAACAAAUGCCCUGCUUCCAGGAAAAGCCUCUAAGCAUCAGGUAACAUCAAAUCGUACCCCAAACCGACACAGGUGGUCAGGUAGAGAAUACCAAGGCGCUUGAGAGAACUCGGGUGAAGGAACUAGGCAAAAUGGUGCCGUAACUUCGGGAGAAGGCACGCUGACACGUAGGUGAAGUGAUUUACUCAUGGAGCUGAAGUCAGUCGAAGAUACCAGCUGGCUGCAACUGUUUAUUAAAAACACAGCACUGUGCAAACACGAAAGUGGACGUAUACGGUGUGACGCCUGCCCGGUGCCGGAAGGUUAAUUGAUGGGGUCAGCGCAAGCGAAGCUCCUGAUCGAAGCCCCGGUAAACGGCGGCCGUAACUAUAACGGUCCUAAGGUAGCGAAAUUCCUUGUCGGGUAAGUUCCGACCUGCACGAAUGGCGUAAUGAUGGCCAGGCUGUCUCCACCCGAGACUCAGUGAAAUUGAACUCGCUGUGAAGAUGCAGUGUACCCGCGGCAAGACGGAAAGACCCCGUGAACCUUUACUAUAGCUUGACACUGAACAUUGAGCCUUGAUGUGUAGGAUAGGUGGGAGGCUUUGAAGUGUGGACGCCAGUCUGCAUGGAGCCGGCCUUGAAAUACCACCCUUUAAUGUUUGAUGUUCUAACGUGGACCCGUGAUCCGGGUUGCGGACAGUGUCUGGUGGGUAGUUUGACUGGGGCGGUCUCCUCCUAAAGAGUAACGGAGGAGCACGAAGGUUGGCUAAUCCUGGUCGGACAUCAGGAGGUUAGUGCAAUGGCAUAAGCCAGCUUGACUGCGAGCGUGACGGCGCGAGCAGGUGCGAAAGCAGGUCAUAGUGAUCCGGUGGUUCUGAAUGGAAGGGCCAUCGCUCAACGGAUAAAAGGUACUCCGGGGAUAACAGGCUGAUACCGCCCAAGAGUUCAUAUCGACGGCGGUGUUUGGCACCUCGAUGUCGGCUCAUCACAUCCUGGGGCUGAAGUAGGUCCCAAGGGUAUGGCUGUUCGCCAUUUAAAGUGGUACGCGAGCUGGGUUUAGAACGUCGUGAGACAGUUCGGUCCCUAUCUGCCGUGGGCGCUGGAGAACUGAGGGGGGCUGCUCCUAGUACGAGAGGACCGGAGUGGACGCAUCACUGGUGUUCGGGUUGUCAUGCCAAUGGCACUGCCCGGUAGCUAAAUGCGGAAGAGAUAAGUGCUGAAAGCAUCUAAGCACGAAACUUGCCCCGAGAUGAGUUCUCCCUGAGACUUAGAGUCUCCUGAAGGAACGUUGAAGACGACGACGUUGAUAGGCCGGGUGUGUAAGCGCAGCGAUGCGUUGAGCUAACCGGUACUAAUGAACCGUGAGGCUUAACCUU